Molecule: ribosomal RNA, 253 nt
Filed under: uncultured bacterium
Lineage: Bacteria
Description: partial 16S ribosomal RNA
Rfam family: Bacterial small subunit ribosomal RNA
Source: RNAcentral
UACAGAGGGUGCGAGCGUUAAUCGGAUUUACUGGGCGUAAAGCGUGUGUAGGUGGUUAUUCAAGUCGGUUGUGAAAUCCCCGGGCUCAACCUGGGAAUUGCUUCCGAGACUGAAAGACUAGAGUACGGUAGAGGGUGGUGGAAUUUCCGGUGGAGCGGUGAAAUGCGUAGAUAGCGGAAGGAACAGCAAUGGCGAAGGCAGCCACCUGGGCCUGUACCGAUACUGAGACACGAAAGCGUGGGGAGCAAACAGG